UUGACCUCGAAUCAGGUAGGGAUACCCGCUGAACUUAAGCAUAUCAAUAAGCGG
RNAcentral lists this ribosomal RNA (54 nucleotides) under Calycellina punctata. RNAcentral's name for it is "partial ribosomal RNA". RNAcentral also lists the same sequence under 12 other names. The record is from RNAcentral. Lineage: Eukaryota; Fungi; Ascomycota; Leotiomycetes; Helotiales; Pezizellaceae.